RNAcentral lists this ribosomal RNA (428 nucleotides) under uncultured bacterium. RNAcentral's name for it is "bacterial SSU rRNA". It matches the Rfam family "Bacterial small subunit ribosomal RNA", at positions 354 to 796 of the family's 1533-position model. The record is from RNAcentral.
GUAGGGAAUAUUGCGCAAUGGACGAAAGUCUGACGCAGCGACGCCGCGUGAGUGAUGAAGGCCUUAGGGUCGUAAAGCUCUGUUGAAUGGGAAGAAAAAAAUGACGGUACCAUUCGAGGAAGGACCGGCUAACUUCGUGCCAGCAGCCGCGGUAAUACGAGGGGUCCUAGCGUUGUUCGGAAUCAUUGGGCGUAAAGGGUGUGUAGGUGGCCAUGUAAGUCAGGUGUGAAAGCCCCGGGCUCAACCCGGGAAGUGCACUUGAUACUGCGUGGCUUGAGUACCGAAGAGGGUAGUGGAAUUCCAGGUGUAGUGGUGAAAUACGUAGAUAUCUGGAGGAACACCGGUGGCGAAGGCGGCUACCUGGUCGAGUACUGACACUGAGACACGGAAGCAUGGGGAUCAAACAGGAUUAGAAACCCGGGUAGUCC